This is a long non-coding RNA of Gossypium raimondii (Peruvian cotton), 641 nucleotides long. RefSeq lists it as uncharacterized. The record is from RefSeq and is a predicted model, not a curated record. The transcript has 2 exons. NCBI's taxonomy places the organism in Eukaryota, Viridiplantae, Streptophyta, Magnoliopsida, Malvales, Malvaceae.
UUUGCUGCAAAGAACGCAAAAAAAAAAAACAAAAGGGGAGGUUCCCCUUCUCUGCCGGAGUUCCAAGGCCAUGGAACAGUGAACGAAAAAACUUUGGCCCCUCCCUAAACCCCAUCCGGCGACGACGAAAGACCAUCGACGGCGGGCCUAAGGGCUGAUUCGGAAAAAUCGAAGAAGAACGAUGCAAGAAAACGUUCGGCCUUUAUAGCCAAAAUACAAAAAAUCGAAGAAGAACGAUGCAAGAAAACGUUCGGCCUUUAUAGCCAAAAUACAAAAUCUUUCCGUUCUAUUCUUUGUCGUUUCUUUUUGUCUAUCUCUUCUUUUGUUGUUUUCUUUUUAGUCCGCGUGUCUUCUUCUCCUUGCAGGUGCCCGUGGCCGACAGUGGUGGCAGAGGCGUGCGAGUGGGCGUGGCAGACGAGGAGGCCACGCGAGGCAUGCGGCGCUAGGGUUUGGGGGCAACUUUCUGCCGAAAAUGUUAAUGUUGUCUUGGCUGGGUUUUUAAUUUUUGUUACAACAAGCCAUGGGCUACAUUGGGCUUGUUAUUUUCCUUUGUAAUUGGACUGUCGUUUAUCUUGUUUUAAUAUUCGGGCUUGGGCAUAAAAUUGGGCCUUACAGAAUCCAUCAAAGAAUUUCCUAUAAAA